UGAGGAAUAUUGGUCAAUGGGCGGAAGCCUGAACCAGCCAUUCCGCGUGCAGGAAGAAGGCCUUAUGGGUUGUAAACUGCUUUUGAAUGGGACUAACCCCGGAGACGAGAUUUUCGGGAUGCAUGUACUGUUCGAAUAAGCAUCGGCUAACUCCGUGCCAGCAGCCGCGGUAAUACGGAGGAUGCAGGCGUUAUCCGGAAUUAUUAGGUUUAAAGGGUGCGUAGGCGGAGAGAUAAGUCAGGGGUAAAAUCGUACAGCUCAACUGUGCCACGCCUUUGAUACUGUUUUUCUAGAGUAGAAUCGAGGUAGGCGGAAUGUGCAGUGUAGCGGUGAAAUGCGUAGAUAUUGCACAGAACACCGAUUGCGGAGGCAGCUUACUAGGUUUAUACUGACGCUGAGGCACGAAAGCGUGGGGAUCAAACAG
RNAcentral lists this ribosomal RNA (424 nucleotides) under uncultured bacterium. RNAcentral describes it as "bacterial SSU rRNA". It matches the Rfam family "Bacterial small subunit ribosomal RNA", at positions 355 to 775 of the family's 1533-position model. The record is from RNAcentral.